CUUCUACUAGAAUUUUGCAUUAUUAUUUCUUAUUACAGGUAUGUCAAUAGUGUGGGCAAUAUAUUUAAAUUAACUACUCUUUAUAAAUCACUGUAACGAAAUUAAAUUCGUAAAAAUUUAGACACUUUUUUAUAUAAAUUUUCCACGUUAUCAGUUAUGCCAACUGUUUUGAUUACCCGUUAUAGCGAUUGGCAGCCAUUUUGUAUUACUAUUGCAAAUGUUUGCUUGGACGUUGGUGAGUGUCGCUCCGUAAAAUUUCCCGAAAUUUUAUGAAUAAUCCCUUCCCUCAAUCUAAAAUAAUCAUCACUGGGCUCAUAAAUGUGCGGGAAAUCAAUUUGGACAAUUUAAAGGAAUAAUCGGUUCCCAAAAUCAAAAAUCAUCAUCAAUCGACUCAUAAACGUGCACGGACUCAAUUUUGACUUUCAAAAGGUUGUGUUGAGUGAAUGAAAAAAUAUCUGCGGAAUUCAAAUUUCAAUAGGAUUCAACACAUUGUGCAGCAUCACUUGUGGAGGUUUUUGCAGCUUUAACAAUAAGAUUCUAUCCUCGAUGGCUUGUGGUGUCACGUACUUCAAAGGGCAAAUGUAAAAAAGGAUAUCUUAUCUGGAAGGACACAUUCUUCAUAUUCAGACUUUUUAGAACUCGGUCUAUUUUUCAUAUUUUCUGAAUGGAAAUUUAACUUGAAAGUAGGGAUCUCCGAGGACUAUUUAGUUUGAAAGAAUCUCCUGGAUGCUGAAAAUUCGUUAUUAAGGCAGUGGAAAUAAAUUAAUCGUCAAGAAAAGAUGCUGUUCGAACGAGAUGCGAGGAAAGUUCUGGAAUAUAAUGAGGAUAAAAUAGUUCAAAAAGAACGAGAAUGUUGAUAGGAUAUCGUGACUUCCACUUCAAUCGGGAUAAAUUAUCCGAGAAUAGUUGUAUGGAGAGCUUGAUGAUUAAUUUUACGUGAUACCACGCGCAUAAGGAAAAUGUGAUCGAGAAAUAUAAGAAAUGCGCCUGGAGAGGAAGGGAAGGUCGUUUCAAAUGGCGACUAUGGUAAUUAUUUCCUCGCGGCACUUCUAUCAAAUAUAUCGAUAGGAUCAACGGCAAACGAUAAUAAUAAAGGGAUGACGACGUCUGUUUCUUCGAGGGAAGGUGUUUGUUGCGGAGCAGCUCCUGGAGGAGAUCGGGCAUAGCUGAGCGCAGUUCAAUCCAAUUGUUGCAGAGGAGGGAAGGUUCGUCUAUUUGAAGAGAAAGUAUGCUGUCAUCGUACCUUUAACACGUCGCGAAAAAUCG
This is a long non-coding RNA of Leptopilina boulardi, 1266 nucleotides long. RefSeq lists it as uncharacterized. The transcript has 8 exons. The record is from RefSeq and is a predicted model, not a curated record. NCBI's taxonomy places the organism in Eukaryota, Metazoa, Arthropoda, Insecta, Hymenoptera, Figitidae.